Molecule: long non-coding RNA, 833 nt
Organism: Dromaius novaehollandiae (emu)
Lineage: Eukaryota; Metazoa; Chordata; Aves; Casuariiformes; Dromaiidae
Exons: 2
Source: RefSeq, a predicted model, not a curated record
GACUCCUUUGUUAGGCCAAAUUAGCCACUUUGGCUUCUUUCUCAACACAUGCUAGCAGUUAUGAAGCUCAUUCCUGAGGAUGGCCUGAGAUAACGACAUCAUAUGCACCGUAAUCCUACUUUCCUGGCUUGAGAAGGACGAAGUACUUGGGUUGGCUUGCUGGUAGACCGUACCAUCGUUACACAAAGACGCCUGAGCAAUACCGUGGCCUAUCACACAGAGGACUGCAGGAGAGCAGAGAAGGCUACGUGACUGCACACCAUGGAGCAAAUCUGGUAUGCACCGUACAAGGGGCUCCUGCAGAAGAGCAGCUCCUCAGUCCACCCUGAAAUGGAGGUCUUUACAUCCACUACCAGGAACGGCCACCUUGCAAUCACAAGAACAGGUUUUCCAUUGUCUGCUGAGAAUUCAGCAAAGAAAGCAGUCCAGCUGCCCUCACAAGCACGAGGGACUUGAUUUUGAUUCAACUUACACAGAAGCAGAUCAGAAAUAGCUCCACUGACGUCAAUGCCGCUGAAAUGAGUUGCAUUAGCCUUGGGUAUGAUGGGUGUGAGAUCAGAGACGGGUCCGAUGUGGUCUUAUUGCUUGCUUGCUUUAGUUUUUGGGAGGACAGUUCUGUUUGGAAGGCUGGUACUUGAAAGGCAUUUCUGAAAAUAUAUAUACUGAAUUUGUAACUGACACCCUGGCUUGGAGUCAAGGGAGCAAGAGGAAAAAAUGAAAAGAAAAAGAAAAAAAGAACAGUGAAGAAAUAAACAUUGCUGUGCAUAUGGGAUAAAAAUCUAAAGAAACCCAAAGAAAUUACUAUGUGUCUUAAAAGAGAAAAAGAAAAAUCA